UACGUAGGUGGCAAGCGUUGCCCGGAUUUAUUGGGUUUAAAGGGUGCGUAGGCGGUCGUAUAAGUCAGUGCUGAAAUAUCCCGGCUUAACCGGGAGGGUGGCAUUGAUACUGCAUGACUUGAGUAAAGUUGAGGUUGGCGGAAUUGACGGUGUAGCGGUGAAAUGCUUAGAUAUCGUCAAGAACACCUAUUGCGAAGGCAGCUAACUAAGCUUUAACUGACGCUGAGGCACGAAAGUGUGGGGAUCAAACAGG
Molecule: ribosomal RNA, 253 nt
Filed under: uncultured bacterium
Lineage: Bacteria
Description: partial 16S ribosomal RNA
Rfam family: Bacterial small subunit ribosomal RNA
Source: RNAcentral